CAUGCACAAACACACAUACAAAGCAAAACAAACAAAAAAAGAACAGGAAACAACACAAAAAAGACACUUACAAAUACAAAAACCUUGCACUAACAGAAUUUCCUCUGAGGAAGCAAGAAUAAUUAUUAACGUUACAACAGAAACCAAAAUGAAAAAGGUAACAAUAACUCAACUUGAAGCAGAUAGGCUACAGCAGCAGAAAAACACACCUGUCAGCUAAUAACAGGCUACAGUUUACUCUGGCUCACCAUAACUGAACACCAGAUUGUAAAAAUGUUUCCUGUUCUGAUGAGUCGAUUUCUGCUGCAACAUUCAGAUUGUGAAGUCAGAAUUUGGCACAAACAACAUGAAAGCAUGGAUCCAUUCUGUCUCGUAUUAGAGGUUUAACCUGGUGGUGGUGGUGUAAUGGUGUGGGGGAUUUUCCUGGCACACUUUGAGCCCUUUAGUGCAUUUGUUACCAUUGAAAUCAAUCUAGUCUUAGCAAGAUGUAAACAAUGAACUAAUUUUACACUUAGGAGUCCAAAGUCAAAAACAUAACCAAUCAAAUGGAUAAUGACAUCCUGUUUCAUAAACUUAACGUUUGUAUACAGUUGAAAGGUUUCGCCCUCUUCUUCUUAAACACACAGAGAGGCAUCUAAAUGCUGAUUUCACACUUUUUUUCACAAUUUUUUUAUUUGUUCUAAAACCCUCUUAGUAUUUGAGUAAAUAUGCCAAGAACUACAUCUUCUGUAUAGAGUCAGAUUCUCACACAUCAUUAAAGGAUGGAUGUUUGCUUUGGUUGUUGCACAUUAAUGAUUCCAUUUCAUUUUCCUGCAUUUGAAAUGUGAAUAAGUUAAUUAUAAAUGAAUAUGCAAAAUGAUUUUUAAAAAGGACUUUGAAUUUUACACUCUGCCAUUAAUUUACUAAUCAGCCUUCGUCUCAUAUUCCAUUUAAUCUUCUUAUGUCUGUGACACCACAAUCCUGGAAAGAGCACUAAUUUCUGUGAAGAGCCCAUCAGAAAUAUCCCUGUACAACUGUCCACUGGUUUAGGAGUGAUGGUGUGUCUGAUCUGACACAAUCAUCACCUCAGCACAAGUGAAUGAUGGCUGUCUAUUUUCUGCUUCUGCUGACCUUUCAUAGACAAAAACAUAGAUGAAUUAUGUCAAACAAGCCAGUUUAAAAAGUAGACAUGACUACAGUGCUUGUUUUUUAAUCUGCAAGUACUUUUCUUUUGAUGCUUUUAGACCAUCAAUAAAAAACUUUUAAUAGCAGCACACGUUGCCUCAGUUCUUUAGAAAUUACAAAUCAUUAAAAAAGAAGAAGAAAACACUAAAUUUUAGAGCUAUAUAGAACGAAUGUUCUAAGGAGUCAGGAACGACUCUGAACAUCCUGCUUUUGACUGAAAGGUGACUGAAAUGAUCUGUCAGGGGCUGAGUCUGUGACCCAGCAUUUUGAGUUUAUUUUGUAUUUUUGAUUUCUUAUGUUAUAUUGGAAAUAUGUUAAGUUCUUGUGUUGUAUUAUUAGUUAGGAUUUAGUUGAGUUUUAUUUUAGUUUUUCAUCUAUGUUUCUUGAUUUAUAAGUCUUUUCCUGUCCUCUAUGCAGUCUGUCUUGACAUCGGUGUUUUUCUUUCAGUUAUCUCGGUGCGUUAGUGUCUCCCAGUGUUCCAUGUUUUAAUUGUCAAGCUUGUGUUGUCAUGUCUACAUCUCUCUGUGUUUCCUGUUUUAUUUUGAAGAGUCUGGUGUUUCCAUGUUCAAAGUGUUUUGUUUUAAUUUCCCCCCUGUGGUGCCAUGUUCAUUCGUGUCAACUGUGCUUCCCCAGGUGUUUCCACUUCCCUCAUUCUCCUUCUGUGUAUUUAAGUCCUCUGUCUUCCUCUGUUCUUUGUUGGGUUGUCGGUUUGUCUUCAGGUCAGGUCAGGUCAGGUCAGGUCACAGAGUUUUCCCUCAUGCUCAUGUUUUUUUUUCAUGUCAUGUUCCUGUUCAGUUUCAUGUUCUCGUCUCUCGUCAUUGUUUCGUAGUUUAGUUCUUUCCCAGUUUAGAUUUUGGUUUAGUUUUGUCCUUGUUUUGCUUUGCCUUGUUUUUCUGUUUUUGAACAUCAGCCUGAAAUUAUCGGCUUGCUUUUUGUUCAAACAUCAGUUCACUUCUUUCGUGUCUAAUUUUGGGUCCCCUCCAUAAACACACCAGUGCACCCCGCCGUGACAGGAUCUAUUGAUGUACUGAUCUACUGAUGGCUUUUCUGCACUUAUAUCUAAUUCUGAUCAUUAGUUGCUUUUUUUCCUUUCCUUUCUUUCUAUUUUAUAUAUAUUUAGUUUGUUAAGCAGUGUUUAUACUAUACAUGUGUUUCUCCCACCAGGUCUUCUGUUGACGAAAGCACUUUUUUCCAAGAUUUUAUAAAAUGUUAAACUCCCAAUUCCUUUUUGGAUGUUUGUUGCGUACUGACACUAACAAAUGGGCACCUUUCAAUGUGCCUAAAGCUUUUUACACCAAAGACACAGAAAAUCAAACCUCAGUGUGUGGCACUAAAUGUAAAACGUCUGACACAACCACAUAAAUGGAUUUUUUCAACAAUUAUUCACUGAUGAUUUUAAAAGGGAAACCACACUUCCUGAAUUAUGUCAGUAUGUCAGUAUGUACAAUUUUGAAUAUGAGACAUUACAGAAAUGUCAUAUAGUAAGACAUCUGCCAAAGUGGCAGUAACAUUAAAAAUAAAUAUAAACAUACUGAUGCAGAAUAGCUGAUUUUAUUUAUUGUGCCCUCAGAUUGGUUUUUCCUUGUGACUCUGUAUUAGCCUGCUUUUCUUCCUGACAAUACCCCCAAGCACCUCCGUUCUCUGUCUCCUUCAAUUUCAAUCUGUCUGGUUCCCCUUCUCUCAUGAAGUUCUAGAGAUCACAGUCUAGCUGUAUCGGGAAAUAGUGUCAUUGAUCCAGGAAACCAGA
Molecule: long non-coding RNA, 2911 nt
Organism: Oreochromis niloticus (Nile tilapia)
Lineage: Eukaryota; Metazoa; Chordata; Actinopteri; Cichliformes; Cichlidae
Exons: 2
Source: RefSeq, a predicted model, not a curated record